Molecule: long non-coding RNA, 520 nt
Organism: Populus nigra (black poplar)
Lineage: Eukaryota; Viridiplantae; Streptophyta; Magnoliopsida; Malpighiales; Salicaceae
Exons: 2
Source: RefSeq, a predicted model, not a curated record
CCUUCGCACAGUUCUUACAUUUACACAAUUCAAAACAAGAAUGAAGAGAGAAUGAGAACGGCUUACUGCUUCUGGAGGUCGCGAGGAGGCUUGUAGCACGGUGAUCUCGUUCUCGUCUGUGUACGCCUGCCCCUUCUGUUUUCCUUUUGUUUCGGUGAUGAUGAAGGUCACGGCUUGCCGCUUGGGUUCUUCCUUUUUCUGAUUUGCAGGGGGGAAUUGAGGAGACGGUGAUGUUAAUGGCUGGGAGAUCGAUCGGCGCUGUAACAGCCGGCAGUAAUGGUGUGGGGCGUUCCAUUCAAUGAAGAAACGUCCCUGCGUUUAAUGGCGGAGCCGCUACAGGGGAAGAAGACGAGCGAACAGUCGCCUCCCAAAACGACUCCGUUUUUACGAUUCCAAAGGCUGCUUUCAAUUUGGUCCUCGAAAUUUUGUAAUUUUGCAAUCAAGCUGCUGGUUAAAAUGUAAUUGGAUCCUUGCAUUUGCGCGACAUUUUCAAUGUAAUCCUUGGAUUUUAAUUUUCCAA